GCUUUUUGGGUUUCCUUUGCUAUCAAUCUUUGGAAAACCAUAUUGAUGUGCAACUUGCAGUUUCCUCCAGUGUAAACUGUAUAUUUCACCUCUUGGAUCAGCCAAUCCACUUUGAUUACAUGUUUCCUAAGGACUUCAUCUUCUACUUUGAUUUGGCUUAUACAAACUAUAGCAAUGAAUCUGUGGAGAAAAAUGCUCAUUUAGUUAUGAUUCAUUAUUUACAUGAAUUGAAAAAGGUCCCAAUUGAGACUGUAGCAGAGCAAGUGGAACACUUUGUA
This is a long non-coding RNA of Amphimedon queenslandica, 278 nucleotides long. RefSeq lists it as uncharacterized. The record is from RefSeq and is a predicted model, not a curated record. NCBI's taxonomy places the organism in Eukaryota, Metazoa, Porifera, Demospongiae, Haplosclerida, Niphatidae. The transcript is spliced from 3 exons.